UACGGGGGGGGCAAGCGUUGUUCGGAAUUACUGGGCGUAAAGGGCUCGUAGGCGGCCAACUAAGUCAUACGUGAAAUCCCUCGGCUUAACCGGGGAACUGCGUCUGAUACUGGAUGGCUUGAGUUCGGGAGAGGGAUGCGGAAUUCCAGGUGUAGCGGUGAAAUGCGUAGAUAUCUGGAGGAACACCGGUGGCGAAGGCGGCAUCCUGGACCGAUACUGACGCUGAGACGCGAAAGCAUGGGGAGCAAACAGG
RNAcentral lists this ribosomal RNA (253 nucleotides) under uncultured bacterium. RNAcentral describes it as "partial 16S ribosomal RNA". It matches the Rfam family "Bacterial small subunit ribosomal RNA", at positions 524 to 776 of the family's 1533-position model. The record is from RNAcentral.